Panthera uncia (snow leopard) is the source of this 1159-nucleotide long non-coding RNA. RefSeq lists it as uncharacterized. The record is from RefSeq and is a predicted model, not a curated record. The transcript has 2 exons. Lineage: Eukaryota; Metazoa; Chordata; Mammalia; Carnivora; Felidae.
GUCCUCCCGGGCCUCGCCGCCCGCGAGCCCCCGCCGUCCGCGCGCGGCCGGGGAGAGGCGCGGGGCCGACAGCCGAGCCCGGCCGGGAGCGGGACCCCCGGGGGGAUCCGCGCAGCUCGGGGGGGCCCCCUCGGCUCGCGUCCCCCGCCCCCCCCCCCCCCUCCCCCGCCCCACUGGAAAUACCUGUCUGCACCCGCGAGCUCCCCGGUCCCGGCCCGGCGCCUCUCGCAGGGUGCCGAGGGGACCGUGCGCCCGGGCCCGGCCUGCCGAGUCGCCCCCUCCCCGCUGCAGCUGCCAGCGCCUGCGACCCGGCGACACAGGCCCGGGGCGGGAGGGCAGGACGAGAGGCAUCCCGGGGCGGGGCCCUGCAGGGUGCCGGGCCCUGGACCGCGGGCUUCGUAGCGCUCGGGUCACCCGCGCAGAGACCCCGCGAGGCGGGCGUGACUCUGCUUGACUCGGGAGAAAACGGAGGCGCAACCAGGUGGAGCGACUGGCCCCAGACUUCCCACCUCGGGGACGGAUGUCCUGCCGAGCCCCGAGCGGAACUCACACCCAACCUGGACGUCAUCAAACCCACCUCCUUAGAGACCUCAGGCCGACAGAUGGCUGGCAUUUCUGCUCCUGGGAGCUUUCUGCUUGGUAUCUUCUGGGCUUUUUGGCAAGAACAGGAACCUAGCCCUGUAACUGGCUCCUUCACCAGGCCAGAAGUGAAACUCUGAGUCCCUGAGGCUCAAAAGUAAGAUUUUCUUCUGGGUUGCCCACCAUCCAUGCUUCCUACUCUCUGGGAAAGUUUGUUCAACCAACUAGGAUUUUACCUAAUCCGGGUAUCAGCCAGCCCACGUAUUUUCAGCCUGUUCACAAGAUCAGACAAUGUUGUCAGUUCCAGGGACACUUGACCACUGUGAGCAGUGGCCCGUUUACCGGGGCAGAAAAGCAGUGUGGCUUCUCAGGGCGCCUGGGAGGCUCGGUCGGUUAAGGGUCCGACUCUCGAUUUCAUCUCAGGCCACGAUCUCAUGGUCUGUGAGAUCUAAGCCCCAGGUCGGGUUCUGCACUGGCAUCAGGGAGCCUGCAUGGGAUUCUGUCUCUCCCCCUCUCUCUGCCCUUCCCCUCCUCGCACGUGCGUGCUCUCUCUCUCUCUCUCUCUCUCAAAAAUAAAUAA